Long non-coding RNA from Pteropus alecto (black flying fox), 2663 nucleotides. RefSeq lists it as uncharacterized. The transcript has 4 exons. NCBI's taxonomy places the organism in Eukaryota, Metazoa, Chordata, Mammalia, Chiroptera, Pteropodidae. The record is from RefSeq and is a predicted model, not a curated record.
CAGAGAAAGAAAAGGGAAGAUAAAAGAACCUAGGCUCCAACACCGACACCCUGCCACUGUGGCUGGUAAGAAAACACACAGGUGAGGGUCAUCAGGUGCUGCAUGAUAGCGAGUGCAAGCCAGCUCUGUAAACUCUUUAUCACUAAAGCAGCCUUACUGCCUUAGUGUCUGCAUCUUCUCUUCCUCUUCUGCUCAUUGGGUAAAGAAAAAAAAAAGAGUAACUGUCCUUCAGGUGGGAAGUGAUACUGAAGACCAUUAAGCUCAGCCCCACACUGUCCAUGAGUCCUCUAGGAUCUCCUCAUCACCCUCUGAACAACUGCAAGGCCAAGGAAAUGCCAUCACACAAAGCAGUCUGUUCCAAGUAGAAAUAACUGUUAAUGCACAUUUGAUUAUGACAAUGGUAAUGCUGUGUGCUAAUUCACAGCAGCCAUGAUUAAUGGAAGCAAGCUCUAAGAUCAGAUUAAUAUUUUACUUCCCCUCUCAGAGGCAGGAUAUUUUAGUGAGACAUAACCUCUUUUGCUUUUAUCUCCGAUGUAGGAGGCAACAUUUUCUUCUUCUAGCAGCUGAUGAAAUUUUCAGCCCUAUUUUAAUUUAAAAAAUUUAAUGGACAUAAUUAUUAAUCAAAAUAAAUAUUAAUAAACUCCAUUUAUAUUAUCUUGCACCUGUACUUUAGGCAGAAAUUCAGAGUAACUGAGGGUAAAGCCACUAUGGAUGAAUAGGUUUAAUUUAUAAGUAAAUAAAUAAACUCAUAAACUCAUUCUCAAUGGUUGAGAAUCAUUUAAAAAUAAGGUUCUUUAUUUUCACAAGGUAUAUAAUAACCAAGGCUCUGUUAAAUAUUUACCAUUCAACUGAAUUAGACUGUUUUUUAAAAAGAUUAAAAAUGAGGUCAUUUUAAAGUUGACUUAUUAACCAUUUAUAUCUGAAAGAAUAAUUUAUGCUCUCUAUUUAGACAUAUGAUCUACGAGUCUUAUUCAUCCCAAUUACAUUCUGAAGAAAGGAUUCAACUGCUAAGUAAAUGUAAAUGAAAGAUCAGACCCUCAGACUCUUAAGCCUGAGUGUCACCUUUAAGAUUUUAUCGAUUUAACUUGGUUUCUGAUGCUUGGCAAUUCCACAGGACGGACACAGCAACUCAGCUUCCUGACAAGCAAUCCUACGGCCGCCCUUCUGCGUCAGGCUCAGACCUCUGUCCAAGCUCUCCGGUUAGACACGAUCCCCUCAGGAGCCGCCCUCCAGCAGCAGGACCUCCAGAGUCCUCGCCGCCCAAGUCAACCACCUGAGUGGUGAAAGACCAGCCUUUGGAAAUCUCUGUGCCUCUUGCUCUACUCCACUGAGUUUACUGAAACAGAGGAGGAAGAGGCCGUGGCAGCAACCAGGCCGGGAUGCUAGGCCAGGGCAGGCCUGGUGGGCCCCGGCCGUCCUCUCCGCAGACCAACAAGCUGCCUCUUAGCACCUCUACCAAGGCCCAACUGGCCACGGAAGAAUUCUCACUGGCCUCUUACUCUCCUUGAUAAUAAGAGGGGCUGUCACAGAAGGAAUGCUGGACUGAGUGGAGAAGCCAUCUACUCUGGGCUGGCUUCACAAGGCCUGUGACUGGGCAAGUCUCAUUGCUCUGCACGUCUCAGUUCACCCUUCUAUAAAAUGGGAGACACUGAGAAUAAACUGCACCGACAGAGGGGAAAAUGUUAUAAAAAAGCAAUACUCUAUUUUUAACUUUCCUCAUUCUGUGCUGGGCACAUUUUAGUGGCAGCCUUUGCUGUAUGGUGUUGCUAUGUACUUUAUCCAACAAUUCAACAGUUGCCAUGGUUAAGUUUUCUGUCACUUCCUAAUGGCCUGAUGGAAAAUGCCUCUGGUUUUGGAAGCCCUGGUUUUAUGAGAAUCUCUGAGGGAAGGCCUGAAGCAGGAGUCAUCAGUGCCAUCGCUUCGCCAUAAAGGAUGAACACAUGGAUUGAGUGACAGAGAGUAGAUGAGUAGAUACGUGGUGGCCUGGAGAUGGGAGAGCUGUGAGAAACAAACAGGAGGGAUUACAGACGGCGUGAGGAAACUUCUGGGGCGGACGGAUUCUUAAAGGGUCCAAUGAUCUCCACAGAGUUAAGAACCACUGAUCUACAUCACUAUUUUUUAUGGCCGAAUGGACUAUUACUUAACGGUUCACCUGCUGAUGAACAUUUAGGUUUAUAAUUAUUCAAUAUUAUAAAUAACAACAUGACUUAUAUUCCUGUACAUAAAACUAUGGUCUGCUUAUUUCCUUAGGAUAAAUUCCUAGAAGAGGAGUUUUGAAAAAUUAAUGUGUAUAUUAAAUUACUGCCAAAUUGCCCUGCAAAAACAAAAAAAAGUACCAAAUGUGUAAAAGAACCAUGAUUUAACCACUGCGUAUAUGUGUGACAGACUGGAUCCAUUUUUCAGGAGCAUGGAAGACCCAUUGAGAGAGGUUCCCAAAGCAAGAUUCCUGGGCCACGUGUACCGAGCACGGAGGAAGUUAAAGGGCACUGCUGGGGAAAUGCUCAGAUCUCAGUGUGGCUUUACAAGUAAGAAGCGUUCUUCAGAAAGUCUUUAGCAAUGUUUCUGGAAACCAUCAUCUCACUACUUUGACCUCGGCCUGCUCAGAACAACUUAGCAGCUGACACACAAACAAUUAAAAGCAUCCAGGUGAAACUUCAAAGGGA